Solea senegalensis (Senegalese sole) is the source of this 2377-nucleotide RNA transcript. It is a transcript of the gene named keratin, type II cytoskeletal cochleal-like, with no coding region annotated. The record is from RefSeq and is a predicted model, not a curated record. NCBI's taxonomy places the organism in Eukaryota, Metazoa, Chordata, Actinopteri, Pleuronectiformes, Soleidae. The transcript is spliced from 9 exons.
CAGGAGGAAGGUGCUUAGAGGGACUUGACUCACCUCUUAGUGUGCUCCACUGCUCUGACUAAUCUCCCCCUCUCUCUUCCUCUGCUCCCCCUUUACUUAAAUCAUGGCAAGUUCCACCUUCCGUACUGGAAGUACUCGUUUGUCUGGUAGCCGUAAAGGAGGGCAAUCAUUUUCCUCAAGAUCCUAUUCUAGUGGCUCAUAUGGCACGGCACGUGCUUCAGGGGGUCCAGUGUCUAGGGGAAGUAUGUAUAGUUUUUCCAUAAGUGGUGGCGGCGGCGGCGGCGGCGGCGGCAGCGGCAGUAGCUUUGGCAGUGGUUUUGGAUCUGGAGGUUAUAGUAGUGGUGGUGGAGCUGGAGGUUUUGGUAUGAGUGGAGGUUAUGGUGGCGGGAGGUUUUGGUGGCGGUGGCGCUGGAGGUUUUGGUGGUGGUGGUGGCGCUGGAGGUUUUGGGGGCGGAUGUGUUCCAAUCACAGCAGUCACAGUCAACCAGAGCCUACUGGCCCCCCUGAACCUUGAGAUUGACCCCAACAUUCAGACUGUCCGAACCCAGGAGAAAGAACAGAUCAAGACUCUGAACAACCGCUUUGCGAGCUUCAUUGACAAGGUUCGUUUCCUGGAGCAGCAGAACAAAAUGCUGGAGACCAAAUGGAGUCUGCUGCAGGACCAGACCACCAGCCGCUCCAACAUUGACGCCAUGUUUGAGGCCUACAUCGCCAACCUGCGCAGACAGCUGGAUGGACUUGGCAAUGAGAAGGUGAAGUUAGAGGGAGAGCUGAAAAACAUGCAAGGACUGGUCGAAGACUUCAAGAACAAAUAUGAAGAUGAAAUCAACAAGCGUGCUAGUGUGGAGAAUGAAUUUGUCCUCCUCAAGAAGGAUGUAGAUGGUGCCUACAUGAACAAAGUCGAGCUGGAAGCCAAAGUCGAUUCCCUUCAAGAUGAGAUUAACUUCCUCAGAAGUGUCUAUGAGGCUGAGCUGCGUGAGCUUCAAGGCCAGAUCAAGGACACAUCUGUCAUUGUGGAGAUGGAUAACAGCCGCAACCUGGACAUGGAUGCGAUUGUGGCAGAAGUCAAGAGUCAAUAUGAAGACAUUGCCAAUCGCAACCGUUCAGAAACAGAGUCGUGGUAUAAACAAAGGGUCACAGAGAUGCAGUCCACAGCAAAUCAGUCUGGAGAUAGCCUUCGCCAGACAAAGGGCGAGAUUGCUGAACUCAACCGUAUGAUUAGCCGCCUCCAGAAUGAAAUUGAGGCAGUCAAAGCACAGCGUAUAAACCUGGAGGCUCAGAUUGCUGAGGCUGAAGAGCGUGGAGAGCUGGCUGUGAAGGAUGCCAAGGCUCGCAUGAGAGAGCUGGAAGAAGCCCUGCAGAGAGCCAAACAAGACAUGGCCCGCCAGGUCCGUGAAUACCAGGAGCUCAUGAAUGUCAAGUUGGCUCUGGACAUCGAGAUUGCCACCUACAGGAAACUUCUGGAAGGAGAAGAAUCCAGAAUUGCCAGUGGUGGCGGAGAGGCAACCAUCCACAUACAGUCCUCAACCACCAGUUAUGGUGGCAGUGGAGGAGGCGGCGGCGGCAGCGGCUGCUUUGGAGGCGGCAUGGGAGGAGGCGGCGGCGGCGGCGGCUUUGGUGGCGGCUUUGGCGGCGGCAUGGGAGGCGGCGGAUAUGGCGGCGGCGGCGGCGGCUGCUUUGGAGGCGGCGGAUAUGGCGGCGGCGGCGGCGGCGGCAGCUAUGGCGGCGGCUAUGGCGGUGGUGGUAGCAGCAGCAGCAUGAUCAGCUCCAGGACCUCCAUUCAGCGCCAUUAAAACCAGCCACUGUCCUCUCUCCUCAUUUUGCUCGCUUCCCCAUGUAUGCUUAAAACCAUUUCCACAAAGCUCUCCACCGCUUUACCUGCAGACACUGAGCACCCUUAGUUGUGAGUCAGUUCUCUUCUUUCUGUCAUCAGUCAGCCAGGUUGACUUUUGGUUUGCUGGAUGUACUCUUGUGUAGACAAGGAGGAUGUUUGUAGUGUCAUGACAAAACCUUUGUUUUUCAUUAGGCAAGAGUCAUUCCACACAAAAUGACAACUGCAGUACAGAGAUGUGCACAGUAACAUAUGUGGAUGAUGUGCUCUGUCUUGGACUCACAAAGCUUUCAGUGCAUGCCACCAUAUACUAUUCUCUUGAGACUCCUCUGUUGUCACACAUCUGUCAUAUUCUUUCAACAAAAGCAACCACAUAUAACACUUUAAUAUUUGAGUUUUGGGAUGCUCUCAUAGAAAUGGUGUUUACGCCUUUAAUUUCACUUUCACUCUGAAUACAAGUAAAGUUUAGGCUGACUGUGAUAACCAGAUUUAUUGUGAAAUUGUACCAUCAAAAUAUCUGGAAUAAAUCUGUGUUCAUCUUUGGCA